GAGACGGCUGUCAGCAAGCCUACACUCAAAGGAUUUACCCGGUGCAGAGAGCUCCAAGAGAACACCAGAGCCCCUGGUAUUCUGGUUCACUUGAAUUUGUCCUCCUGCCUAUUCCAUAUUUUUUUCACACAUAUAAUCAUUUGUUUGCAGUCCGGAAAUAUAAAACCAUUCAAGAAACGGAGGCCCAACUAUUGGCUUCCCGAUUAUUCUACCAACUCUACCAAAUCCUUGUUCUUCGUUGCACAAUUAGCUGUGAAACAGACAGAGGUUACCUACAAUAAGUGCAUGUCAUUUUGGACUAGCCAUAUUUCAAGGGCUCAGUAUGGCUAAUGGCCACUAUAUUGGACAUCGACGGUCAAACCCAUUUUACAUUCCCCUGACAACUAUGAUUGGUGUGAGGCCUAUGAUGGCCCAACUAGGCUGACAGCAAAGAUCUUUCCUGUUGGCAAAGAUCAUCUUUCUCUCUCCUGCUGGCAAGAACAAGAAAGAAUAAAGGUCUGAUCAACCCAUGAGCUUUCUUGGGAUUUAUGAGGAGAACCAGACUUUGGAUGAAACUGACAUUGAAAUGAGCAGGAUGGAGAGAAAAAUCCUAGGGGUUUGGUGACAAUACUGGGCUGCUGAUUAAACUUGGAGUUUGCCCUGACUCUGAACUUUCUAUUUAGUGAGAUAAUAAUUGUCUCAAUUGUUUAAGCUAGCUUGUGUUGCUUCCAGCUAAAAGAGUGCCAGCUAUAUACAAUGUGCAAGCUGACAUGUUGUCAUGCUCUGACACUGAUGAACACACCCCCACAAGGCUGUGAAGUAGUAGGGGAAGAACUAACCUGCAUGGAGUUGGAAGGGGGGGAAAAACAAAAUCAAACCAUAUGGAAAGCAGUUGAAUUCACUGCAUUAAAUAUACUUUUUAAAAUGUACAACAUAAUAGCCAUAUGUUUAAGUCAGAAUCAUCUGCAAAGCACGCAUGUUCACUUUCUGUUCCAGAGUCAGGCGUCUGAAUUCUGUGAGCAAAGCCUAGAGAAAAAAAACUAAGCCUAUGCCAGAUUUACAGGAAUAGUUAUCUUUAUAAAGACUAUAUGAACUGUAAUACAAAGUUACAAAGCUGAAGGCAAAGCUUUUCAAUAAAGCAAGUGGCUCUCAAAGAGAUACCUUCAAG
RNAcentral lists this long non-coding RNA (1147 nucleotides) under Homo sapiens (human). RNAcentral describes it as "non-protein coding LINC01338:6". The record is from RNAcentral. Lineage: Eukaryota; Metazoa; Chordata; Mammalia; Primates; Hominidae.